AGUUGAUAUGUCCGAGCGGUUAAGGAGAGGGACUUGACAUCCGUUGGGCUACGCUCGCGCUGGUUCGAACCCUGCUGUCGAUGAUAUCG
This 89-nucleotide transfer RNA is filed under the name Helianthus annuus (common sunflower). RNAcentral describes it as "tRNA-Ser". It matches the Rfam family "tRNA". Rfam says of the family: Transfer RNA (tRNA) molecules are approximately 80 nucleotides in length. Lineage: Eukaryota; Viridiplantae; Streptophyta; Magnoliopsida; Asterales; Asteraceae. The record is from RNAcentral.